This 131-nucleotide non-coding RNA is filed under the name bovine gut metagenome. RNAcentral's name for it is "glmS glucosamine-6-phosphate activated ribozyme". It matches the Rfam family "glmS glucosamine-6-phosphate activated ribozyme aptamer", at positions 7 to 153 of the family's 167-position model. From Rfam's summary of the family: This entry contains a glucosamine-6-phosphate activated ribozyme that is found in the mRNA for GlmS. GlmS is an enzyme that uses fructose-6-phosphate and glutamine to generate glucosamine-6-phosphate. The ribozyme catalyses self cleavage of the glmS mRNA that is thought to regulate GlmS activity. The record is from RNAcentral.
GAAAGAAGCGCCGGAGCCUACUGCGACAUAGGCUGACGAGGACAGGGAGUAUCGAAAUUUCGGCGGAUGCCCUGCGGCAGUUAUGUCGUAAGUAUAAGUGCAAAUAUCGGAGUAAUCCGAAAACAAAGACU